GGCAAGAUGGCCGAGCGGUCUAAGGCGCUAGGGUCAGGUAAUCUGAUCACACAUAUUGGCUCUCUGAGCAAUAUUCCUAGUCACGCAAGUGGCGUGGGUUCGAAUCCCACUCUUGUCA
Molecule: transfer RNA, 118 nt
Filed under: Aspergillus homomorphus CBS 101889
Lineage: Eukaryota; Fungi; Ascomycota; Eurotiomycetes; Eurotiales; Aspergillaceae
Description: Aspergillus homomorphus (strain CBS 101889) tRNA
Rfam family: tRNA
About the family: Transfer RNA (tRNA) molecules are approximately 80 nucleotides in length.
Source: Rfam by way of RNAcentral